AACGAACGCUGGCGGCGUGCCUAACACAUGCAAGUCGCACGAGAAAAUUCGCUUCGGCGGAUGAGUAAAGUGGCGCACGGGUGAGUAACGCGUGGAUAAUCUGCCUUCAAGCCGGGAAUAACUCAUCGAAAGGUGGGCUAAUACCCGAUAAUGCUAUUGUGCAUAAGCAUGAUAGCCAAAGAGAGCCUCUGCUUGCAAGCCCUCACUUAAAGAUGAGUUCGCGUACCAUUAGCUAGUUGGUGGGGUAAUGGCCUACCAAGGCAACGAUGGUUAGCUGGUCUGAGAGGAUGAUCAGCCACACUGGAACUGAGACACGGUCCAGACUCCUACGGGUGCAG
This 338-nucleotide ribosomal RNA is filed under the name uncultured Pseudomonadota bacterium. RNAcentral describes it as "bacterial SSU rRNA". It matches the Rfam family "Bacterial small subunit ribosomal RNA", at positions 29 to 351 of the family's 1533-position model. The record is from RNAcentral. Lineage: Bacteria; Pseudomonadati; Pseudomonadota.